RNAcentral lists this long non-coding RNA (459 nucleotides) under Coccomyxa subellipsoidea. RNAcentral describes it as "long non-coding RNA (CSUB_LNC000734)". Lineage: Eukaryota; Viridiplantae; Chlorophyta; Trebouxiophyceae; Coccomyxaceae. The record is from RNAcentral.
CACGACUGAGACGAUGACGUCUCGAUCGUCCAGGGAUGGGAGCCAGGCCAUUUUCGUCCAAUCCCUGCAGGAGUAGCAAUCUCCCUCGGACCACUUCAGAGGAGUGCUUUCCUCAGGUUCCAAAUACAGCACCUUCCACAUAAGCACAGAUGUAGUUGCUUCUGCUAGGGAUAUGUCAGCAAGUGUACCUGAGUGUCUCCCAUGCCUCACUGAUAGGAACUGUCAGAACACAACUUGCACGUGGUCUAACGAAAGCUAGCGGUGCAUUCUGACUGGUCUUUUGCUGAAGAAGGGCGUUGUAAAUGCCGCUAUGGUCUGUCAUGCAGUCAUGUAGAUCAAUUUGCCCGCCCCGCAGGGGAUAAACAAGCCGACGCCCUCUCGGCUGACAACAGAAGUAUUUGUGCCGUGUCCCUUUCUUCUCUGGAUCAAAUGAUGUAUUUACUCUUCUUCUGUUGUUGC